GAAAGCAAUCAUGAUGGGGGUCUGACUCUCGAGAUUCGGAGAGCAGUGUCUCUUCGAUUUUUGAGGAAGUAAUCAUGUUGGGAGUCUGGCUCUCAAGAUUCGGAGGGCGGUGCCUCUUCGAUUUUGGAGCAAGCAAUCUUGUUGGGAGUGUUGUCUCGAAUGUGAGUAAAGGUUGGACAUGUUUGCUAGUCUACCUUGCCACGAAGCACAAAGGUUGACACACAGGGACUUUCCAAUUAUCCAGCAAUGGUACUGUUCCUUUACCCUCUCUUCGAUUUUGAGAAAGUAGUCAUGUUGGGAGUCUGGCUCUCGAGAUUCGGAGGACGGUGCCUCUUCGAUUUUGGAGCAAGCAAUCUUGUUGGGAGUGUUUUCUCGAAUGUGAGUAAAGGUUGGGCAUGUUUGCUAGUCUACCUUGCCACGAAGCACAGAGGUUGACACACAGGGACUUUCCAAUUAUCCGUACUGUUCCUUUACCCUUGUGGGUAAUAAUAUGGUAGCUAGACCUUCAAAAUUUAUGUGUCUAAACUUUGUUAGUGCUGUUUCUUUGCUAUUCUUUUACCUUUCUUGGUCAGAGCGAUGUAGUGGGAGCUGCAAGCUUACGUGCUCAACUUUGGCAGAGAACUUUGGCAAAGUUAUCUAUGGUACCCAUGAGUUAUUGUUGCGUGUGGGAAGUGGGUGAUUGAACAGUAAGAUUCAUGUGCUUUCUACUUCACCAGAAGUCUUCGACAAAAAUGCCCAUAAUUUCUGCAAAGCUGAGUGUGCGUGUGACAGGUGCUGACAAGGCUAGAAAAGUAGGUGCCUCUUCGAUUUCUGAGAUCGGCCCUCGUGGUCUCUGAGCAGCCCAGCUUUUGAGAAAGCGAGCGCCUCUUCAAUUGAUUCGGAGAACGAUGCCUCAUCGAUUUUUUGAGAAAGCAAUCAUGCUGGGGGUCUGGCUCUCGAGAUUCGGGGAGCAGUGUCUCUUCGAUUUUUUGAGAAAGUAAUCAUGUUGGGAGAGUGGCUCUCGAGAUUCGGAGGGCGGUGCCUCUUCGAUUUUGGAGCAAGCAAUCUUGUUGGGAGUGUUUUCUCGAAUGUGAGUAAAGGUUGGGCAUGUUUGCUAGUCUACCUUGCCACGAAGCACAGAGGUUGACACACAGGGACUUUCCAAUUAUCCAACAGUGGUACUGUUCCUUUACCCUUGUGGGUAAUAAUAUGGUAGCUAGACCUUCAAAAUUUAUGGGUCUAAACUUUGUUAGUGCUGUUUCUUUGCUAUUCUUUUACCCUUCUUGGUCAGAGCGGUGUAGUGGGAGCUGCAAGCUUCACGUGCUCAACUUUGGCAGAGAACUUUGGCAAAGUUAUCUGUUGGUACCCAUGAGCUAUUGUUGCGUGUGGACUACUUCCCCAGAAGUCUUUGACAGAAUGCCCAUAAUUUCCGCAAAGAUGAGUGUG
RNAcentral lists this long non-coding RNA (1425 nucleotides) under Malus domestica (apple). RNAcentral describes it as "long non-coding RNA (MDOM_LNC016563)". Lineage: Eukaryota; Viridiplantae; Streptophyta; Magnoliopsida; Rosales; Rosaceae. The record is from RNAcentral.